This is a non-coding RNA of Cyanistes caeruleus (blue tit), 763 nucleotides long. The record is from RefSeq and is a predicted model, not a curated record. Lineage: Eukaryota; Metazoa; Chordata; Aves; Passeriformes; Paridae.
UUCACUUUCAGAAGAAAUGAGUUCACAAAGCAGAAGAUCAUAUUCUUAAGAUCUCAUUCCACGUCAGUAACCUCAGCUGGGAUCUGAGUGAAACUGAAACAUGGAAGCUUUGCAGGGCUACUACCAUCAAGGAGGUAUCAGGUGCACACAAUGGAUAUGAGACAUCGAAACACAUAUCAGACUGACACUUGUGAAAAUUGAAAUCCUUGCUCUUCCACUGAAAUAUAAGUUGGGGCUUCAGGUCCAUUGAAUGGAUCAUGGAAAUCAGAGCUGCAGAGACAACGGAAAAAUGUGAAGAACAGAAGUAAGCUGGAAAUGGUUGAGACAAUGUCAGUGAAGAAUCCAACAGUGAUCUUCACUAGGAGACUGAAUUCGGCAGUAACAGGACAACAUCGAGGCUGAACUGAAGAAGAAACCUGGACUUCAGGUGAUAUUCUUUUCCCUCUGGAAUUAAUAAAGUACUUCAAAGAGAACAGAGAAAGACAAGAUCAAACACCUGAGUCAAGGAAGCACUUAAGACAGAAGCUACUUCCACAGGGGGAUUGUGAGUCAUUUAUAUGGGGACCCUAGGAGUUUCAAGAAGAUACUUAUUAGGAAGAUAAAUGGUAUAUGAGAAGCUGUUCUCUGGCUGGCAAGUGGCCAGGAAAGAAGGAUAUGAAUGAGAUUCACAUAAAAAAAUGGGUAAUAAAGCAGUCACAGACAUAAGCAGUGCAGAAAAGCACUCCUGAGACAAAGAAAACAAGAUGGAAAUCCUCCAAAACAG